GAUGAACGCUGGCGGCGUGCCUAAUACAUGCAAGUCGAGCGAACAGACGAGGAGCUUGCUCCUCUGACGUUAGCGUCGGACGGGUGAGUAACACGUGGAUAACCUACCUAUAAGACUGGGAUAACUUCGUGAAACCGGAGCAAAUACCGGAUAAUAUUUUGAACCGCAUGGUUCAAUAGUUAAAGACGUUUUUGCUUUCACUUAUAGAUGGAUCCGCGCCGCAUUAGCUAGUUGGUAAGGUAACGGCUUACCAAGGCGACGAUGCGUAGCCGACCUGAGAGGGUGAUCGGCCACACUGGAACUGAGACACGGUCCAGACUCCUACGGGAGGCAGCAGUAGGGAAUCUUCCGCAAUGGGCGAAAGCCUGACGGAGCAACGCCGCGUGAAUGAUGAAGGUCUUCGGAUCGUAAAACUCUGUUAUUAGGGAAGAACAAAUGUGUAAGUAACUAUGCACGUAUUGACGGUACCUGAUCAGAAAGCCACGGCUAACUACGUG
RNAcentral lists this ribosomal RNA (497 nucleotides) under uncultured bacterium. RNAcentral's name for it is "partial 16S ribosomal RNA". It matches the Rfam family "Bacterial small subunit ribosomal RNA", at positions 28 to 507 of the family's 1533-position model. The record is from RNAcentral.